GACGAACGCUGGCGGCGUGCUUAACACAUGCAAGUCGAACGGAAAGGCCCUGCUUUUGUGGGGUGCUCGAGUGGCGAACGGGUGAGUAACACGUGAGUAACCUGCCCUUGACUUUGGGAUAACUUCAGGAAACUGGGGCUAAUACCGGAUAGGAGCUCCUGCUGCAUGGUGGGGGUUGGAAAGUUUCGGCGGUUGGGGAUGGACUCGCGGCUUAUCAGCUUGUUGGUGGGGUAGUGGCUUACCAAGGCUUUGACGGGUAGCCGGCCUGAGAGGGUGACCGGCCACAUUGGGACUGAGAUGCGGCACAGACUCGUACGGGAGGCAGAAGUGGGGAAUAUUGCACAAUGGGCGGAAGCCUGAUGCAGCAACGCAGCGUGCGGGAUGACGGCCUUCGGGUUGUAAACCGCUUUCGCCUGUGACGAAGCGUGAGUGACGGUAAUGGGUAAAGAAGCACCGGCUAACUACGUG
This 468-nucleotide ribosomal RNA is filed under the name uncultured bacterium. RNAcentral describes it as "partial 16S ribosomal RNA". It matches the Rfam family "Bacterial small subunit ribosomal RNA", at positions 28 to 507 of the family's 1533-position model. The record is from RNAcentral.